Molecule: ribosomal RNA, 492 nt
Filed under: uncultured bacterium
Lineage: Bacteria
Description: partial 16S ribosomal RNA
Rfam family: Bacterial small subunit ribosomal RNA
Source: RNAcentral
AGUGAACGCUGGCGGUAGGCCUAACACAUGCAAGUCGAACGGCAGCACAGUAAGAGCUUGCUCUUACGGGUGGCGAGUGGCGGACGGGUGAGGAAUACAUCGGAAUCUACUUUUUCGUGGGGGAUAACGUAGGGAAACUUACGCUAAUACCGCAUACGACCUACGGGUGAAAGCAGGGGAUCUUCGGACCUUGCGCGAUUGAAUGAGCCGAUGUCGGAUUAGCUAGUUGGCGGGGUAAAGGCCCACCAAGGCGACGAUCCGUAGCUGGUCUGAGAGGAUGAUCAGCCACACUGGAACUGAGCCACGGUCCAGGCUCCUACGGGAGGCAGCAGUGGGGAAUAUUGGACAAUGGGCGCAAGCCUGAUCCAGCCAUACCGCGUGGGUGAAGAAGGCCUUCGGGUUGUAAAGCCCUUUUGUUGGGAAAGAAAAGCAGCAGGUUAAUACCCCGCUGUUCUGACGGUACCCAAAGAAUAAGCACCGGCUAACUUCGUG